Molecule: ribosomal RNA, 429 nt
Filed under: Chloroflexota bacterium
Lineage: Bacteria; Bacillati; Chloroflexota
Description: Chloroflexi bacterium partial 16S ribosomal RNA
Rfam family: Bacterial small subunit ribosomal RNA
Source: RNAcentral
UGGGGAAUAUUGCACAAUGGGCGCAAGCCUGAUGCAGCCAUGCCGCGUGUAUGAAGAAGGCCUUCGGGUUGUAAAGUACUUUCAGCGGGGAGGAAGGGAGUAAAGUUAAUACCUUUGCCCAUUGACGUUACCCGCAGAAGAAGCACCGGCUAACUCCGUGCCAGCAGCCGCGGUAAUACGGAGGGUGCAAGCGUUAAUCGGAAUUACUGGGCGUAAAGCGCACGCAGGCGGUUUGUUAAGUCAGAUGUGAAAUCCCCGGGCUCAACCUGGGAACUGCAGCUGAUACUGGCAAGCUUGAGUCUCGUAGAGGGGGGUAGAAUUCCAGGUGGAGCGGUGAAAUGCGUAGAGAUCUGGAGGAAUACCGGUGGCGAAGGCGGCCCCCUGGACGAAGACUGACGCUCAGGUGCGAAAGCGUGGGGAGCAAACAGG